Molecule: ribosomal RNA, 508 nt
Filed under: uncultured bacterium
Lineage: Bacteria
Description: bacterial SSU rRNA
Rfam family: Bacterial small subunit ribosomal RNA
Source: RNAcentral
AGAGUUUGAUUAUGGCUCAGGACGAACGCUGGCGGUGCGCCUUAUGCAUGCAAGUCGAGCGAAGCUUUUCAGUAGUUUACUACAGAAAAUGACUGAGCGGCGAACGGGUGAGUAACGCGUGAGCAAUCUACCUUAGUUACAGGGAUAGCCCGAGGAAACUCGGAUUAAUACCUGAUAUUCUUUAUUUCUCGCAUGAGAAUAAAAGGAAAGGUCAGCCGAACUAAGAUGAGCUCGCGUUCUAUCAGCUAGUUGGUGAGGUAAAAGCUUACCAAGGCUACGACGGAUAGCUGGUCUGAGAGGACGAUCAGCCACACUGGGACUGAGACACGGCCCAGACUCCUACGGGAGGCUGCAGCAGGGAAUAUUGUGCAAUGAACGAAAGUUUGACACAGCGACACCGCGUGUGGGAUGACGGAUCCAGGUUUGUAAACCACUUUCAGGAGGGAAGAAAAUGACGGUACCUCCACAAGAAGCCCCGGCCAACUACGUGCCAGCCGCCGCGGUAAUU